Molecule: long non-coding RNA, 127 nt
Organism: Vanessa atalanta (red admiral)
Lineage: Eukaryota; Metazoa; Arthropoda; Insecta; Lepidoptera; Nymphalidae
Exons: 3
Source: RefSeq, a predicted model, not a curated record
UCCCUCAGAAAUGUCAAAUGCGCAGACGCGAUGAGGGUCGAGCGACCCGCACUAUCGCGGACGCUGCCGGUCCCAGUAGCCUGCGAUCAGGCGGCGCGACCUGGUGCUCAGCCGAGAUCUGAAGAGC